GAUGAACGCUGGCGGCGUGCCUAAUACAUGCAAGUCGAGCGAAUGGAUUAAGAGCUUGCUCUUAUGAAGUUAGCGGCGGACGGGUGAGUAACACGUGGGUAACCUGCCCAUAAGACUGGGAUAACUCCGGGAAACCGGGGCUAAUACCGGAUAACAUUUUGAACCGCAUGGUUCGAAAGUGAAAGGCGGCUUCGGCUGUCACUUAUGGAUGGACUCGCGUCGCAUUAGCUAGUUGGUGAGGUAACGGCUCACCAAGGCAACGAUGCGUAGCCGACGUGAGAGGGUGAUCGGCCACACUGGGACUGAGACACGGCCCAGACUCCAACGGGAGGCAGAAGUAGGGAAUCUUCCGCAAUGGACGAAAGUCUGACGGAGCAACGCCGCGUGAGUGAUGAAGGCUUUCGGGUCGUAAAACUCUGUUGUUAGGGAAGAACAAGUGCUAGUUGAAUAAGCUGGCACCUUGACGGUACCUAACCAGAAAGCCACGGCUAACUACGUGCCAGCCGCCGCCGUAA
RNAcentral lists this ribosomal RNA (515 nucleotides) under uncultured bacterium. Its description in RNAcentral is "partial 16S ribosomal RNA". It matches the Rfam family "Bacterial small subunit ribosomal RNA", at positions 28 to 523 of the family's 1533-position model. The record is from RNAcentral.